ACUCCCAAACCAGUUGGCUUUAGGGCACUAAGCUUUAAACUUUUGCAAGCUUAUUCACUCGAGGCUCGAUCAGAUGACUUUUUAUUAACCUCUUUCCCUCUUGCUUUCUAUAUGACCACUUUAGCGAGCUUUAGGCCCGUGACUCCCAGACCAGUUGACCUUAGGGCACCAGAUUUUGAAACAUCCUUUCUAGACAUUUAGUUCUCAAAACUAACCCCCAAUUUAAGAUUUUCACAUAAUCUUCACCUCACUGGUCUAGGCAAUCCACACAAUAAAAUUUCAUCCACGGAGCCCUGGCUUAUCUUAAUGCUCC
RNAcentral lists this long non-coding RNA (313 nucleotides) under Olea europaea (common olive). RNAcentral's name for it is "long non-coding RNA (OEUR_LNC000435)". Lineage: Eukaryota; Viridiplantae; Streptophyta; Magnoliopsida; Lamiales; Oleaceae. The record is from RNAcentral.